This 484-nucleotide ribosomal RNA is filed under the name uncultured bacterium. Its description in RNAcentral is "partial 16S ribosomal RNA". It matches the Rfam family "Bacterial small subunit ribosomal RNA", at positions 30 to 507 of the family's 1533-position model. The record is from RNAcentral.
AUUGAACGCUGGCGGCAGGCCUAACACAUGCAAGUCGAGCGGAUGAAGGGAGCUUGCUCCUGGAUUCAGCGGCGGACGGGUGAGUAAUGCCUAGGAAUCUGCCUGGUAGUGGGGGAUAACGUCCGGAAACGGGCGCUAAUACCGCAUACGUCCUGAGGGAGAAAGUGGGGGAUCUUCGGACCUCACGCUAUCAGAUGAGCCUAGGUCGGAUUAGCUAGUUGGUGGGGUAAAGGCCUACCAAGGCGACGAUCCGUAACUGGUCUGAGAGGAUGAUCAGUCACACGGGAACUGAGACACGGCCCAGCCCCCUCGGGGAGGCGGCAGUGGGGAAUUUUGAACAAGGGGGGAAGGCCUGAUCCACCCAUGCCGCGUGUGGAAAGAAGGUCUUGGGUUUGUAAAGCUUUUUAGUUUGGGAGGAAGGGAAGUAAGUUAAUCCCUUGUUGUUUUGACGUUCCCAAAAAAAAAAGCCCCGGCUACCUUCGUC